RNAcentral lists this ribosomal RNA (864 nucleotides) under uncultured bacterium. RNAcentral's name for it is "bacterial SSU rRNA". It matches the Rfam family "Bacterial small subunit ribosomal RNA", at positions 10 to 913 of the family's 1533-position model. The record is from RNAcentral.
AGUUUGAUCCUGGCUCAGAACGAACGUUGGCGGCGUGGAUCAGGCAUGCAAGUCGAGCGCCGCAGCAAUGCGGAGCGGCGAACGGGGCAGUAAAGCAUGGGUAACCUACCCUGGGGAUCGGGAUAGCCAUUCUAACGGAUGGGUAAGCCCGGGCGAGUUGAGCGGGCCGCAUGGCCGGCUCAAGAGAGUGAAGGCCACAGGAGGGGCUCAUGUCGUAUUAGCUAGUUGGUGGGGUAACGGCCCACCAAGGCGACGAUGCGUAGCGGGUGUGAGAGCACGACCCGCGUCACUGGCACUGAGACACUGGCCAGACUCCUACGGGAGGCUGCAGUCGAGGAUCUUCGGCAAUGGGGGCAACCCUGACCGAGCGACGCCGCGUGGACGACGAAGGCCUUCGGGUUGUAAAGUCCAAAGGUACCAAGGAAGACUGACUGAGGUACAGUAAGCACGGGCUAAGUUCGUGCCAGCAGCCGCGGUAAGACGAACCGUGCAAACGUUGUUCGGAAUCACUGGGCUUAAAGGGCGCGUAGGCGGGUCGGCACGUCUGCGGGUGAAAGACCACAGCUCAACUGUGGCAGGGCCCCAGAUACGGCGGAUCUAGAGGGAGGUAGGGGUCUGUGGAACACCAAGUGGAGCGGUGAAAUGCGUUGAGAUUUGGUGGAACUCCGGUGGCGAAGGCGACAGGCUGGACCUCAACUGACGCUGAGGCGCGAAAGCUAGGGGGUGAACGGGAUUAGAUACCCCGGUAAUCCUAGCCCUAAACGAUGGGUACUAGGCGGUGGGCAACAUGGGCUCGCCGCCGAAGCGAAAGUGGUAGUACCCCGCCUGGGGAGUAUGGUCGCAAGGCUGANCUCAAGGAAUUGA